This 484-nucleotide ribosomal RNA is filed under the name uncultured bacterium. Its description in RNAcentral is "partial 16S ribosomal RNA". It matches the Rfam family "Bacterial small subunit ribosomal RNA", at positions 30 to 507 of the family's 1533-position model. The record is from RNAcentral.
AUUGAACGCUGGCGGCAGGCCUAACACAUGCAAGUCGAGCGGAUGAAGGGAGCUUGCUCCUGGAUUCAGCGGCGGACGGGUGAGUAAUGCCUAGGAAUCUGCCUGGUAGUGGGGGAUAACGUCCGGAAGCGGGCGCUAAUACCGCAUACGUCCUGAGGGAGAAAGUGGGGGAUCUUCGGACCUCACGUUAUCAGAUGAGCCUAGGUCGGAUUAGCUAGUUGGUGGGGUAAAGGCCUACCAAGGCGACGAUCCGUAACUGGUCUGAGAGGAUGAUCAGUCACACUGGAACUGAGACACGGUCCAGACUCCUACGGGAGGCAGCAGUGGGGAAUAUUGGACAAUGGGCGAAAGCCUGAUCCAGCCAUGCCGCGUGUGUGAAGAAGGUCUUCGGAUUGUAAAGCACUUUAAGUUGGGAGGAAGGGCAGUAAGUUAAUACCUUGCUGUUUUGACGUUACCAACAGAAUAAGCACCGGCUAACUUCGUG